This 70-nucleotide transfer RNA is filed under the name Triplophysa chondrostoma. Its description in RNAcentral is "tRNA-Trp". It matches the Rfam family "tRNA". From Rfam's summary of the family: Transfer RNA (tRNA) molecules are approximately 80 nucleotides in length. Their secondary structure includes four short double-helical elements and three loops (D, anti-codon, and T loops). Further hydrogen bonds mediate the characteristic L-shaped molecular structure. tRNAs have two regions of fundamental functional importance: the anti-codon, which is responsible for specific mRNA codon recognition, and the 3' end, to which the tRNAs corresponding amino acid is attached (by aminoacyl-tRNA synthetases). tRNAs cope with the degeneracy of the genetic code in two manners: having more than one tRNA (with a specific anti-codon) for a particular amino acid; and 'wobble' base-pairing, i.e. permitting non-standard base-pairing at the 3rd anti-codon position. The record is from RNAcentral. Lineage: Eukaryota; Metazoa; Chordata; Actinopteri; Cypriniformes; Nemacheilidae.
AGGGACUUAGGAUAAUUUAGACCAAGAGCCUUCAAAGCUUUAAGUAGAAGUUAAAAUCUUCUAGUCCCUG